GGCUUCGAAGCAGCGUCGCUAGAUGUUGUGGAGCCGUCCUUGAAAUACCACCCUUGUACGUUUGAUGUUCUAACAUUGGCCCCUAAGCGGGGUUGUGGACAGUGUCUGGUGGGUAGUUUGACUGGGGCGGUCUCCUCCCAAAGAGUAACGGAGGAGCACGAAGGUUGGCUAAUCCUGGUCGGACAUCAGGAGGUUAGUGCAAUGGCAUAAGCCAGCUUAACUGCGAGACAGACACGUCGAGCAGGUACGAAAGUAGGUCAUAGUGAUCCGGUGGUUCUGAAUGGAAGGGCCAUCGCUCAACGGAU
Molecule: ribosomal RNA, 305 nt
Filed under: Skeletonema marinoi
Lineage: Eukaryota; Bacillariophyta; Thalassiosirophyceae; Thalassiosirales; Thalassiosiraceae
Description: partial Bacterial large subunit ribosomal RNA
Rfam family: Bacterial large subunit ribosomal RNA
Source: RNAcentral